GGCCAUGCUAGCUCAGUCGGUUAGAGCGUCGUGCUAAUAACGCGAAGGUCGUAGGUUCGAUCCCUGCGCAGGCCA
RNAcentral lists this transfer RNA (75 nucleotides) under Rhipicephalus microplus (southern cattle tick). RNAcentral describes it as "tRNA-Ile". It matches the Rfam family "tRNA". Rfam says of the family: Transfer RNA (tRNA) molecules are approximately 80 nucleotides in length. Their secondary structure includes four short double-helical elements and three loops (D, anti-codon, and T loops). The record is from RNAcentral. Lineage: Eukaryota; Metazoa; Arthropoda; Arachnida; Ixodida; Ixodidae.